Molecule: non-coding RNA, 73 nt
Organism: Parelaphostrongylus tenuis
Lineage: Eukaryota; Metazoa; Nematoda; Chromadorea; Rhabditida; Metastrongylidae
Source: the annotation of a GenBank genome assembly
GCAUUGGUGGUGUAACGGUUCAACAUAAGCUCCCGAAAGGAGUGAUAUCUGGGUUCGAAUCCCGGCUGAUGAA